GAUGAAGAACGCAGCGAAAUGCGAUAAGUAGUGUGAAUUGCAGAAUUUAGUGAAUCAUCGAAUCUUUGAACGCACAUUGCGCCCUAUAGUAUUCUGUAGGGCAUGCCUGUUCGAGCGUUAUUGAGACCUCAAGCUCUGCUUGGAAAUGGGCGCUUGUCUUGCCUUGCAGACUCGCCUUAAAACCAUUGGCAGCUGAUUUACAAUGUUUGGUGCACAGUACAUGAGCCCAAGUGUUGCAAUGAGUGGCCCAAAAGUAUACAAUAGAAGCUUAACCUCGGAUCAGGUAGGGAUACCCGCUGAACUUAAGCAUAUCAAUGCGGAGGA
RNAcentral lists this unclassified non-coding RNA (324 nucleotides) under soil metagenome. RNAcentral describes it as "partial contains 5.8S ribosomal RNA, internal transcribed spacer 2, and large subunit ribosomal RNA". The stretch from base 1 to 120 matches the Rfam family "5.8S ribosomal RNA", at positions 35 to 154 of the family's 154-position model. The record is from RNAcentral.